Molecule: ribosomal RNA, 576 nt
Filed under: Triticum aestivum (bread wheat)
Lineage: Eukaryota; Viridiplantae; Streptophyta; Magnoliopsida; Poales; Poaceae
Description: partial small subunit ribosomal RNA
Source: RNAcentral
AUGUUGAGCGCACGCUUGAUCUUCCAGACGGCGGCCAGCGGCGCAGCCCCGCGCCUGGCGAUGAUCCCGGCGGCGGCGUCGAACGCGGUGGCCAGCCUCGGCGCGGGCAAUGCCGGGUCGAGGCAUCCCGGGUCAACGCCCAGCGAGACACGGCAGAUGACGUCGAAUGCGAACCGGCGGAGGACAUCCUGCAUGUCCACGGCGCCGCCGCCCGGCUCAGCGGCCGCUUCCAUCGCCGGCACGAGGCGGUCGAGCGCCUCCGCCUCGAGCACGGCAAUCUCCAGCUCACGGAGCGUGCGCGCCGAGAACUCGUGGCUGACCAGCUUCCGCUGGGCGAACCACUUGUCGCCGUCGACGUUGAAGAUGCCAUUGCCGAGCAGGUCGCCGAGCACGUCGGUGAAGGGCUUCCCCUUGGGGAAGUUGCCGAAGUUGCCCAGGAGGAUGUACUCGACGUUGGCCGGGUUCGCGGUCACCACGGUCCGGCGCGCACCCAGGCGGUCAACGACGAUCGUCUGGGUGGGCGAGGCCGCCAGCAUCUCGGUGUACCAGUCGAGGAGCCGCCGCCGGUUCUCGUAG